Clupea harengus (Atlantic herring) is the source of this 550-nucleotide long non-coding RNA. RefSeq lists it as uncharacterized. NCBI's taxonomy places the organism in Eukaryota, Metazoa, Chordata, Actinopteri, Clupeiformes, Clupeidae. The record is from RefSeq and is a predicted model, not a curated record.
CCCCCCCCACCCCCUUCCUCAGCUCUGAUCAUUAAGGCUUAUCACGAGGUGUUUCACGGCCAGGGUGUGGUUCAUUAACCAACCGUACCUGUACUGCCUCUGAUCUGAUAAGCACCGCUACAGCCUCCAUUAGCCCGACGACGAGGGUAAAAUGCUGACGAGACAAGAAAAAAAAAAAAAAAAAAAGCUCCCGGUCAAUGAGGGUGGGUUGCAUAAUCUAAUGCAUCACCGGGAAAGAGCGAGCGUCUAGCCGCACUCAAACCAAAUGAGGCUCGGGCUUGAGAGGUGCCCAAUGUGCUGACGCCAGGGAAACUGGGCGAGAUGGGUUACUGUGCUUUCUCCACACCCGGAGCAUGCUGUCAGGCCAGAGUGACUGAGAUUAGUCAACCAUGGUUGUGUCCAUUCACUCAGUAAAGACUACGAGGACAUGAAGAAAGGAGACAGGAGGAGACACAGGAAUAGAAGAAACCCAGAAAGAACACCAGUUCCAGAUGUGCCCAAAAAAGGGAUUGGUAUCUUACCUUCUCGCUCUCGCUGCCCCUUCUCCGUG